Coffea eugenioides is the source of this 1558-nucleotide RNA transcript. It is a transcript of the gene named metacaspase-9-like, with no coding region annotated. The record is from RefSeq and is a predicted model, not a curated record. The transcript is spliced from 3 exons. NCBI's taxonomy places the organism in Eukaryota, Viridiplantae, Streptophyta, Magnoliopsida, Gentianales, Rubiaceae.
AUCAUUUCAACUUCAUAUUUCCUUGACAGUCGUAUAUAGUUUCUUUGUACUCAAAACUUUCGAGGGAUGGGUAGAUACGCUUUAUUAGUUGGUUGCUGCUAUUUGGGGGAUCGGGAUGAACUACGAGGCUGCUACAAUGAUGUGUUUGCAAUGAAACACCUGCUGAUAAAUAGUUUCGGUUUUCAUCGUGCUAAUGUGGAAGUUCUCACUGAUAAGCGUAGCUCCCCUUUGCUGCCCACAGGUGAGGUUAUAAGAACUGAGCUUUAUGAGAUGAUUGAGCAGGCGGAGCCCGGCGAUGUUUUGUUGUUCUAUUUUAGCGGCCAUGGAAUAUAUGAGGAUUUCAGGGGAAGCCGCGGCUGCAACAGACAGGAAGCAAUUGUCCCCUGUGACCGGAACCUCAUUUUCAGUGCAGACUUUCGAGAUAUGGUAAAUGACAUGCCAUAUGGUGCUGAUUUCGUUAUGAUAGCAGACUCCUGCCACAGUGGGGGGCUAAUAGGUCAGACCAAGGAGCAAGUUGGACCUGGAUUUCGUCCAGAUGUUUGCCAUGCCUCAAGGUCCUACAAUUACGGUAACAUUGGCGGCGGUCGCAGAGCCAAAAGGAUGCCCAUCGAAUCGGUUUUGCGGCAUUUGAGACCUUUGAGUUACGUAGACAGUUCAGAUAUUGGAACACUCUUGAGAGACAUUUACGGAAAUCAAGCCAGCAUCCUGUUCCGACGGCAUGUUGAUCCCGAUGCCAGGGUUGAUCGUGGCAUUCUUAUCAGUGGAUGCCAGUCCAACGAAACCGCAGUCGACGAUGAUGGGAAACAUCGUCGCCCUUAUGGUCUGUUUACUGCUGAACUUUGCUCUACAUUGCGGAACCUGCGCGGUCCCAUGAUGAGCAACGCAGAGCUCGUGGAGACUAUUAGAUAUAAAUUAAGAAACGAGCAUCAGCAUCCAUGUCUCUACUGCUCUGACAGGCGUGCCGAUGCACCUUUCCUGCGGGUACGCUGAAUCAAUCGACAGUAUGUAUGACUGGGAUCCUACGUACCACUACAUGAAAUUAGCUGACCAAAUAAAGCGGUUAGCUGUUUUCUUUAGAUGGUUUUUGAAGCAUUUUAGCAAUUUCAUACGGGAGUAGAACGAAAAUAUAAUAACAGGUGCUAAUUUGGCAGGAAAAGAGUUCAGAUGAUAGAGCUUGUCCUAGGGGCAUUUUUGAAACAACAAAACGUGAGCCCUUGUUGGGCAAAUUGGACCGAAGUCUUCAUUUUUCCGCACAGCAGCCGUCGCAAGGAACACUACUUUAUAUAGGAAAAUUGCGCAGGGAAAGGGGAGCUCCUUCUUCUCCCUCUCGGGAGAGAGCCGCCGCACAAGGGAACUACUUGGAAGCUUUAGUUUUUGACUUUUCUUUGGUUGGCUUUUGGCUUAACCUCAAUUCUCGUAUGUAUGUCAGAGGCCAUAAGAAAGCAAAGAAAUCAUUCUCUGUAGCAAGUUUUCUUUUUGACUUUAGUCUUUCGUCCUUUGUGGCUCUCUUGUCGCAUAUGCCUGGAACAAUUAGGACAAUGGCCACUGCUUUCUUUAC